This 643-nucleotide ribosomal RNA is filed under the name uncultured bacterium. RNAcentral's name for it is "bacterial SSU rRNA". It matches the Rfam family "Bacterial small subunit ribosomal RNA", at positions 232 to 885 of the family's 1533-position model. The record is from RNAcentral.
CGCGGCCUAUCAGCUUGUUGGUGGGGUAGUGGCCUACCAAGGCGACGACGGGUAGCCGGCCUGAGAGGGUGACCGGCCACACUGGGACUGAGACACGGCCCAGACUCCUACGGGAGGCAGCAGUGGGGAAUAUUGCGCAAUGGGCGGAAGCCUGACGCAGCGACGCCGCGUGGGGGAUGACGGCCUUCGGGUUGUAAACCUCUUUCAGUAGGGACGAAGCGCAAGUGACGGUACCUACAGAAGAAGCACCGGCCAACUACGUGCCAGCAGCCGCGGUAAUACGUAGGGUGCAAGCGUUGUCCGGAAUUAUUGGGCGUAAAGAGCUCGUAGGCGGUCUGUCGCGUCGGCUGUGAAAUCCCGGAGCUCAACUCCGGGUCUGCAGUCGAUACGGGCAAACUGGAGUACUGCAGGGGAGACUGGAAUUCCUGGUGUAGCGGUGAAAUGCGCAGAUAUCAGGAGGAACACCGGUGGCGAAGGCGGGUCUCUGGGCAGUAACUGACGCUGAGGAGCGAAAGCGUGGGGAGCGAACAGGAUUAGAUACCCUGGUAGUCCACGCCGUAAACGUUGGGCGCUAGGUGUGGGGCUCAUUCCACGAGUUCUGUGCCGCAGCUAACGCAUUAAGCGCCCCGCCUGGGGAGUACGG